RNAcentral lists this long non-coding RNA (864 nucleotides) under Chinchilla lanigera (long-tailed chinchilla). RNAcentral describes it as "lncRNA (ENSCLAG00000024209.1)". The record is from RNAcentral. Lineage: Eukaryota; Metazoa; Chordata; Mammalia; Rodentia; Chinchillidae.
AGCAAAAACAACAGCAACGCCCGACUACAAGUGGCCCAUGAUGACGUCAGACGCAUUCAACAGCAGCAAUGUCCUGGGUGGGGCAGAAAUGGCGCAGGUGUCCCCGCCUGGAAAGGUGCGUGAACCAUCCCGAAGUGGAGAAACCUCUGGGAAAACAUGCCACACGGUGGGUCGCUCUUGGCCCUGCCCUUGAGAGCCAGAAAGGUCCGGAGUCCGCGGAGGAGCAGCUGCUGAACAAGGACUCGGAGAACAGGAGGGUACCGAUGCCCGACGGCUCAGAGGUCGAGCUGACGGGGGACCCGGGAGCCAUUCAGGAGCUGGAAACCAGGAGGACUUUGCGCAAUACCUGGGGAGACGCUCUGGAGAAACCACUUUGAGGAUGCCAACAUGUAUUCCGGCAGCCACUGAUGAUAUCCUACCAAUCUGUCCAUAACUCUGUAAUGUUUCUGUUGCUCCUAUGCUAUUCCAUAAAUGGAUGUAUGUUUGUUACUAUGUGUUUUCAACAACAACCAUUGAGAAUAGUCAAUGACUAUUUGACUGAUCACCCAUGUAUAGCUCUAUUUGUUUUCCCUAGAGACCACUUUGGAGAAACCAGGGUAUAGUACAACAACCACUGAUAAUUUCUUGCCAUUUCCGUUUGUAACUCACUAUUAUUUGUCUAUUUGUUUUCCUGAGAAAUUAUCUUGAAGAUCCAAUAGGUAAAGUAAAAACCAUUGAUAAUAUCCUACCACUUUGUCUGUAAUUCGGUGUAUCCCCCUACUGCUUUGUUGUCCUUCUUUUACUCUUAAAAAGAAAAAAAAUUUAAAAAUUAAAAAUAAUAAUAUUUAUACAAAGUUACUGUGUGUAUCAGUGAGAGACAAAAAC